RNAcentral lists this long non-coding RNA (223 nucleotides) under Elaeis guineensis (African oil palm). RNAcentral describes it as "long non-coding RNA (EGUI_LNC063713)". The record is from RNAcentral. Lineage: Eukaryota; Viridiplantae; Streptophyta; Magnoliopsida; Arecales; Arecaceae.
AGUGGAUGCUUCCUGACCAAAGCCCGGAGUACCAAGCCCGAGCAGCUUUCCAAAGUGUGACCAGGAAGCCGAUGCAUAGGAGGGCGUCGAUUGCCCCCUGAAUCAUCAUGAGAGCCUUGUAGCUCUCAAGGUGGUCAACUGGGUCGGUGGAACCAUCGUAGGGCUCCAUGUGCAGCAUCAUGAAUCGACUCGGGAUCAAUUCAUCCAAGAUAAGUUGGGAGAG